AGAGAUGCAUUGGGUUUAAAGAGUGCGCAGGCGGUUUUGUAAGACAGAGGUGAAAUCCCCGGGCUCAACCUGGGAACUGCCUUUGUGACUGCAAGGCUGGAGUGCGGCAGAGGGGGAUGGAAUUCCGCGUGUAGCAGUGAAAUGCGUAGAUAUGCGGAGGAACACCGAUGGCGAAGGCAAUCCCCUGGGCCUGCACUGACGCUCAUGCACGAAAGCGUGGGGAGCAAACA
Molecule: ribosomal RNA, 230 nt
Filed under: uncultured Alicycliphilus sp.
Lineage: Bacteria; Pseudomonadati; Pseudomonadota; Betaproteobacteria; Burkholderiales; Comamonadaceae
Description: partial 16S ribosomal RNA
Rfam family: Bacterial small subunit ribosomal RNA
Source: RNAcentral